Molecule: long non-coding RNA, 480 nt
Organism: Notothenia coriiceps (black rockcod)
Lineage: Eukaryota; Metazoa; Chordata; Actinopteri; Perciformes; Nototheniidae
Exons: 3
Source: RefSeq, a predicted model, not a curated record
UAAAGGUUGGUGUAAAAUCCGGGUUAAAUUGGAGAAUCACGCCAUCUGGUGUUACAAAUGCGUGCCUGCAUUACUGUAGCUUUGUUACCGCAAUGGAUUGUGGGAGAUUCUCAUACCGCGUGAGGAUCUUUUGAGAGUAAGGUUCUAUUGUAUUAUGUCGGUGGACAAAAUGUAUAUUAUUAUUUUAUUAGGACAAUAACGUUCUGUUGUGUUGUUUUGUUUAAUGUUAGUCGUUUAAUGCUCACAGCAACAUGUUUUUUGUGUGAUUGGCUAUUUGUUUUAUAUGAUUUAUUAAUGUGAUCACCAAUAGCUAAUCUGAGCUAAUAAGCUAACGUGAGCGUGGUGCUAUCUCUCCUACAGAACGUGUCCUUUUUAUGUGUCCAUUCAAACGCAGGUAUAAACAAACGCAGUGAAAUAAACCAAAGUAUUCACCAGCUCUGAGUGGUCUGUUGCCGAGGGGACACUACACCGGGGGUUACA